This 424-nucleotide ribosomal RNA is filed under the name uncultured bacterium. Its description in RNAcentral is "bacterial SSU rRNA". It matches the Rfam family "Bacterial small subunit ribosomal RNA", at positions 917 to 1341 of the family's 1533-position model. The record is from RNAcentral.
GGGCCCGCACAAGCGGUGGAGCAUGUGGUUUAAUUCGAUGCAACGCGAAGAACCUUACCUACUCUUGACAUCCAGAGAACUUAGCAGAGAUGCUUUGGUGCCUUCGGGAACUCUGAGACAGGUGCUGCAUGGCUGUCGUCAGCUCGUGUUGUGAAAUGUUGGGUUAAGUCCCGCAACGAGCGCAACCCUUAUCCUUGUUUGCCAGCACUUCGGGUGGGAACUCCAGGGAGACUGCCGGUGAUAAACCGGAGGAAGGUGGGGACGACGUCAAGUCAUCAUGGCCCUUACGAGUAGGGCUACACACGUGCUACAAUGGCGUAUACAGAGGGCUGCCAACUUGCGAGAGUGAGCGAAUCCCACAAAGCCGGUCUCAGUUCGGAUUGGAGUCUGCAACUCGACUCCAUGAAGCUGGAGUCGCUAGUAA